RNAcentral lists this ribosomal RNA (293 nucleotides) under uncultured bacterium. Its description in RNAcentral is "partial 16S ribosomal RNA". It matches the Rfam family "Bacterial small subunit ribosomal RNA", at positions 775 to 1067 of the family's 1533-position model. The record is from RNAcentral.
GGAUUAGAUACCCUGGUAGUCCACGCCGUAAACGAUGUCUACUUGGAGGUUGUGGCCUUGAGCCGUGGCUUUCGGAGCUAACGCGUUAAGUAGACCGCCUGGGGAGUACGGUCGCAAGAUUAAAACUCAAAUGAAUUGACGGGGGCCCGCACAAGCGGUGGAGCAUGUGGUUUAAUUCGAUGCAACGCGAAGAACCUUACCUACUCUUGACAUCCUCAGAAGCUUGUAGAGAUACGAGUGUGCCUUCGGGAACUGAGAGACAGGUGCUGCAUGGCUGUCGUCAGCUCGUGCCG